Molecule: transfer RNA, 63 nt
Filed under: Azospirillum sp. TSH100
Lineage: Bacteria; Pseudomonadati; Pseudomonadota; Alphaproteobacteria; Rhodospirillales; Azospirillaceae
Description: tRNA-Arg
Rfam family: tRNA
About the family: Transfer RNA (tRNA) molecules are approximately 80 nucleotides in length.
Source: RNAcentral
CGUAGCUCAGCUGGAUAGAGCAUCAGACUACGAAUCUGAGGGUCAGGAGUUCGAAUCUCUUCG